RNAcentral lists this ribosomal RNA (447 nucleotides) under uncultured bacterium. RNAcentral's name for it is "bacterial SSU rRNA". It matches the Rfam family "Bacterial small subunit ribosomal RNA", at positions 329 to 793 of the family's 1533-position model. The record is from RNAcentral.
GUCCAGACUCCUACGGGAGGCAGCAGUGGGGAAUAUUGCACAAUGGGGGAAACCCUGAUGCAGCGACGCCGCGUGAGCGAUGAAGUAUUUCGGUAUGUAAAGCUCUAUCAGCAGGGAAGAAAAUGACGGUACCUGACUAAGAAGCCCCGGCUAACUACGUGCCAGCAGCCGCGGUAAUACGUAGGGGGCAAGCGUUAUCCGGAUUUACUGGGUGUAAAGGGAGCGUAGACGGCUGUGCAAGCCAGAUGUGAAAGCCCGGGGCUCAACCCCGGGACUGCAUUUGGAACUGUGUGGCUGGAGUGUCGGAGAGGCAGGCGGAAUUCCUAGUGUAGCGGUGAAAUGCGUAGAUAUUAGGAGGAACACCAGUGGCGAAGGCGGCCUGCUGGACGAUGACUGACGUUGAGGCUCGAAAGCGUGGGGAGCAAACAGGAUUAGAUACCCGUGUAC